This 77-nucleotide transfer RNA is filed under the name Ailuropoda melanoleuca (giant panda). It matches the Rfam family "tRNA". Rfam says of the family: Transfer RNA (tRNA) molecules are approximately 80 nucleotides in length. The record is from Rfam by way of RNAcentral. Lineage: Eukaryota; Metazoa; Chordata; Mammalia; Carnivora; Ursidae.
UCCUGGCUGGCUCAGUCAGUGGGUAGAGCAUGUGACUCUUGAUUUCGGGGUCUUGAGUUCAAGUCCCAAGCUGGGUG